GUGGGGAAUCUUGCGCAAUGGGCGAAAGCCUGACGCAGCCAUGCCGCGUGAAUGAUGAAGGUCUUAGGAUUGUAAAAUUCUUUCACCGGGGACGAUAAUGACGGUACCCGGAGAAGAAGCCCCGGCUAACUUCGUGCCAGCAGCCGCGGUAAUACGAAGGGGGCUAGCGUUGCUCGGAAUUAUUGGGCGUAAAGGGCGCGUAGGCGGAUCGUUAAGUCAGGGGUGAAAUCCCAGAGCUCAACUCUGGAACUGCCCUUGAUACUGGCGAUCUUGAGUGUGAGAGAGGUAUGUGGAACUCCGAGUGUAGAGGUGAAAUUCGUAGAUAUUCGGAAGAACACCAGUGGCGAAGGCGACAUACUGGCUCAUUACUGACGCUGAGGCGCGAAAGCGUGGGGAGCAAACAGGAUUAGAAACCCGUGUAGUCC
Molecule: ribosomal RNA, 425 nt
Filed under: uncultured bacterium
Lineage: Bacteria
Description: partial 16S ribosomal RNA
Rfam family: Bacterial small subunit ribosomal RNA
Source: RNAcentral